UACGAGUGGCUCAAGCGUUAUCCGGAAUCAUUGGGCGUAAAGGUUGUGUAGGUGGUUGUAUUAGUCUCUUGUUAAAUUCUUCGGCUUAACCGGGGGCAUGCAAGGGAAACGGUACAACUAGAGGAUGCGAGGGGUCUGCGGAACUCAUAGUGUAGCGGUGAAAUGCGUUGAUAUUAUGGGGAACACCAAAAGCGAAGGCAGCAGACUGGAGCACUCCUGACACUGAAACAAGAAAGCGUGGGUCGCGAAUGGG
This 253-nucleotide ribosomal RNA is filed under the name uncultured bacterium. RNAcentral describes it as "partial 16S ribosomal RNA". It matches the Rfam family "Bacterial small subunit ribosomal RNA", at positions 524 to 776 of the family's 1533-position model. The record is from RNAcentral.